Molecule: long non-coding RNA, 417 nt
Organism: Dermacentor albipictus
Lineage: Eukaryota; Metazoa; Arthropoda; Arachnida; Ixodida; Ixodidae
Source: RefSeq, a predicted model, not a curated record
CGGGGUGUGGCCGCGCAAGCUAACAUGCCUUCUGUUUUGUAGUGACGCAAGUAAUGAAGCGGUGGAAAUAGCUACGAGACACUUGCAUGAAAAAAAGACGCAAAGAAGUGACUACAACGAAAAGUGGCGCCCGCGCGGACAGUGUAGUCAGUGUGCGGUGGCCCCAUUAGAACCAAUUGCUGUUUCUCCUUGACAGACUGGAAUAUUCCAAGGCGAGCGGGAACCUCGCGGAUAUUCAAGACACAGACUCAUUCGACGAAACAAGCACCGCAUAUCUCCAGAUUGAAAGAACUAGCAUCGUAGACAUUGAAGCCAAUCUGGGUGCUACCAACUUUCCCACAACCCUUACACAGGAAGAUGGGAGUGGAUCUUCCAGCCCCACAUCAGUGCCAUCACCAGCCAGCAGCGCAUCAUCUG